CCGGAACCAGGCGCCCGCCGGAGGAACCAACCAAACUCUUUCUGUAGUCCCCUCGCGGACGUAUUUCUUACAGCUCUGAGCAAAAAUUCAAAAUGAAUCAAAACUUUCAACAACGGAUCUCUUGGUUCUGGCAUCGAUGAAGAACGCAGCGAAAUGCGAUAAGUAAUGUGAAUUGCAGAAUUCAGUGAAUCAUCGAAUCUUUGAACGCACAUUGCGCCCGCCAGUAUUCUGGCGGGCAUGCCUGUCCGAGCGUCAUUUCAACCCUCGAACCCCUCCGGGGGAUCGGCGUUGGGGAUCGGGACCCCUCACCGGGUGCCGGCCCUGAAAUACAGUGGCGGUCUCGCCGCAGCCUCUCCUGCGCAGUAGUUUGCACAACUCGCACCGGGAGCGCGGCGCGUCCACGUCCGUAAAACACCCAACUUCUGAAAUGUUGACCUCGGAUCAGGUAGGAAUACCCGCUGAACUUAAGCAUAUCAAUAAGCGGAGGGAAAGAAA
Molecule: ribosomal RNA, 495 nt
Filed under: Trichoderma hamatum
Lineage: Eukaryota; Fungi; Ascomycota; Sordariomycetes; Hypocreales; Hypocreaceae
Description: eukaryotic LSU rRNA
Rfam family: 5.8S ribosomal RNA (bases 102-255)
Source: RNAcentral